UCAAAUAAUAACUGUCACUCUUUUUACCAGCCUGCUGGCAUCCAUAGAGGUUCAUAGGAACCCUUUCCUUUAACAUUCUCCAUUAUAGGCUGUCCCCAUACCCCGUCCGGUAUGAGCGCCAAAUUAUAAAACCUCAAUACCCUGUCUGGUAUGAGGGUGAAGUAGGCCGUCCCAUACCCCGUCCAGUAUUUGUGCCAAAUUAUCAAGUCUCGAUACCCCGUCUAGCAUGAGACAACGUUCACAAUAGGGUUCCCUAUGUACCUAGUCUGUCCACCAUCUCCCAGGAUAUCCAGUAAGGCUGCCGUUUCAUCCAU
Molecule: long non-coding RNA, 314 nt
Filed under: Carica papaya (papaya)
Lineage: Eukaryota; Viridiplantae; Streptophyta; Magnoliopsida; Brassicales; Caricaceae
Description: long non-coding RNA (CPAP_LNC000609)
Source: RNAcentral